RNAcentral lists this ribosomal RNA (253 nucleotides) under uncultured bacterium. Its description in RNAcentral is "partial 16S ribosomal RNA". It matches the Rfam family "Bacterial small subunit ribosomal RNA", at positions 524 to 776 of the family's 1533-position model. The record is from RNAcentral.
UACAGAGGGUGCUAGCGUUGUUCGGAAUCACUGGGCGUAAAGGGCGCGUAGGCGGCCUGAUAAGUAGGGGGUGAAAUCCUGCGGCUUAACCGCAGGGCUGCCUUCUAAACUGUCAGGCUAGAGCACAGUAGAGGCAGGUGGAAUUCCCGGUGUAGCGGUGGAAUGCGUAGAGAUCGGGAAGAACAUCAGUGGCGAAGGCGGCCUGCUGGGCUGUUGCUGACGCUGAGGCGCGACAGCGUGGGGAGCAAACAGG